This 831-nucleotide long non-coding RNA is filed under the name Homo sapiens (human). RNAcentral's name for it is "non-protein coding lnc-SNTG2-1:3". Lineage: Eukaryota; Metazoa; Chordata; Mammalia; Primates; Hominidae. The record is from RNAcentral.
AGAGCUGUGAGAAAAUACAUUUGAGAUGUUCAAGCUGCCCAAUGUCUGGUCAUUUGUUACAAAAGAUAUGGAAAAUCAACGCACCAGUAACUGGAGAAAAUUGAUCACGACUGAAAGGCAGUGGGCAAAACGUACUGUUGUAGGUCAGCCCAGACCAGAAACUGAAAAGAGAUCAUGGGAAGGCAUAUCGGGGACGGAGCCCACGCUUCAGGGCCAUUCUGCUGGGCUUUCCUACAGUGACCUCACCAUCACCACCACCACCGACAACGACAUCACAGCCCCGACCUCACCAUCACCACCACCAAUGACAACACUACAGCCCUGACCUCACCAUCACCACCACCAACAACGACAUCACAGCCCUGACCUCACCAUCACCACCACCAAUGACAACACUACAGCCCUGACCUCACCAUCACCACCACCAAUGACAAUGACAUCACAGCCCCGACCUCACCAUCACCACCACCAAUGACGAUGCUACAGCCCCGACCUCACCAUCACCACCACCAAUGACAAUGACAUAACAUCCCCGACCUCACCAUCACCACCAAUGACAACGACAUCACAGCCCCGACCUCACCAUCACCACCAAUGACAAUGACAUCACAGCCCUGACCUCACCAUCACUACCACCAAUGACAACGACAUCACAGCCCCAACCUCACCAUUACCACCACCAACAACAAUGACAUCAUGGCCCACAGGUGGCCAAACCCUUCAAUCACCUGCAAACCAGCGACCCUCACUUUUGCUUCUGAAACUUAUAAAAGCAAAAACAAAAAAACAGAUUCUCAAACCCAAACCGUGGCAAUUCUGGUUCAGCAGGUG